GUCCGGACGCAAUCCCAUCGCGCAGCUCGGCUACUCAAUCGGACCGGUUCGACUACGAGUUCCACUGCCAGGCAUCGACAAGACCGCGACGUCACAUGUGAUGAUCGACAUCUCCGCUUUCCAGGCGGUCGCGCUCAUCGUGGCCGCCACAGCGAGCGACAGCGCGACGCUGCGGUCCGGCCUCAUUUCCUUCAAGCGUGACCGGCCGUUCGACGAAGACAGGGCGGCCGGUGCGACGAUCGGGAUGUUUCCGGUUCUCUACGAACGCGACGAUCUCACGCGGGCCCACGAGAUGGUGCACGCCGUCCAGAGUCUUCAGCUCAGCGCGCCCGAACCGGCGAUUCCCUGGCGCUUCAUGACCUUCAAGGACAAGGAUCCGCAGCGGAAGAAGCUCGUGCGG
RNAcentral lists this unclassified non-coding RNA (400 nucleotides) under uncultured fungus. Its description in RNAcentral is "sequence contains ITS1". The record is from RNAcentral. Lineage: Eukaryota; Fungi.